UUUUGUUUUUCCUGGUAGCCCACAGAGGCAUGAAGUGAGACCAGCCUGCUCUGAGAUCCUGAGUGAAUUUUCUGGAUGGUGGAGUCAUUUAGAAGCUGGCAGGGGAGCUGUGGUUGUUAUUUCCGACGCCUGGUUGUGAACAUGUGCCUGCUGACCACAUCUACCUUACCAGGAGGUGAAAAAUCAUGGAAUUACAGAAGGGGUCUAAUCCAGAAGAUCUGUGUGUCCUCGUGUAACAUCUGCUGGGAGCUCCAUUGAACAAUUUGUGUGAGGUCUCUGCUUCACAAGCUCUGGAGAAGAAUGCAGUGCUGCCCAUUUGCAGGAUUUAAAGAGGAAAUGGAUGGAGAACAUCAGGUCCCCAACCUUUGGGAAAUUCUGGCCCAGGAUCUUAUUCAGUAGAUGAACUUACUGUGUGCUGCACCAGGUAAAACAAUCCCUGUUGCAGUGAAAGGGACCAGCAUUUUUAUUGUUCACACCUUCCACUUAAGGUUUUACUUUGUGCAUCAUUAUUAUUACAGCAGUUAUGAGAAAAACUUUGUUGUACUAGUUAAACUAUACAAAUAAGUUUUUGUGAUGUGUGAAAUAGUUAAGUCCAAGCAAUCCUAAAUUUUGAGACCUGACUUCAAAUUCAACUCUGAAGUUAUUUAUUUGUUCAAGUAUAAAAUAAUAAAGGUUCCUGUCCAAGGCUCUUAAAUCAUAACUUUUUAAAUUAUAUGGUCAAUUAAGUUAGAUUUAACCUUAACAGAACUGAACUCGGUUCCAAAGGAACUUGCCAUUGCUUUUCAUCCCUUCACAUCUCAGAGUCCCUCAUCAAACAGAUGAGGCCCUAAGUGUGGGAUAUUUUGAAUU
Molecule: non-coding RNA, 849 nt
Organism: Taeniopygia guttata (zebra finch)
Lineage: Eukaryota; Metazoa; Chordata; Aves; Passeriformes; Estrildidae
Source: RefSeq, a predicted model, not a curated record